GGUUAAGCGACUAAGCGUACACGGUGGAUGCCCUGGCAGUCAGAGGCGAUGAAGGACGUGCUAAUCUGCGAAAAGCGUCGGUAAGGUGAUAUGAACCGUUAUAACCGGCGAUGUCCGAAUGGGGAAACCCAGUGCAAUUCGUUGCACUAUCGUUAACUGAAUACAUAGGUUAACGAGGCGAACCGGGGGAACUGAAACAUCUAAGUACCCCGAGGAAAAGAAAUCAACCGAGAUUCCCCCAGUAGCGGCGAGCGAACGGGGAGCAGCCCAGAGUCUGAAUCAGCUUGUGUGUUAGUGGAACGGUCUGGAAAGUCCGACGGUACAGGGUGAUAGUCCCGUACACCAAAAUGCACAGGCUGUGAACUCGAAGAGUAGGGCGGGACACGUGGUAUCCUGUCUGAAUAUGGGGGGACCAUCCUCCAAGGCUAAAUACUCCUGACUGACCGAUAGUAAACCAGUACCGUGAGGGAAAGGCGAAAAGAACCCCGGCGAGGGAGUGAAAAAGAACCUGAAACCGUGUACGUACAAGCAGUGGGAGCACCUUCGGGUGUGACUGCGUACCUUUUGUAUAAUGGGUCAGCGACUUAUAUUCUGUAGCAAGGUUAACCGUAUAGGGGAGCCGCAGGGAAACCGAGUCUUAACUGGGCGUUAAGUUGCAGGGUAUAGACCCGAAACCCGGUGAUCUAGCCAUGGGCAGGUUGAAGGUUGGGUAACACUAACUGGAGGACCGAACCGACUAAUGUUGAAAAAUUAGCGGAUGACUUGUGGCUGGGGGUGAAAGGCCAAUCAAACCGGGAGAUAGCUGGUUCUCCCCGAAAGCUAUUUAGGUAGCGCCUCGUGAAUUCAUCUUCGGGGGUAGAGCACUGUUUCGGCUAGGGGGUCAUCCCGACUUACCAACCCGAUGCAAACUACGAAUACCGAAGAAUGUUAUCACGGGAGACACACGGCGGGUGCUAACGUCCGUCGUGAAGAGGGAAACAACCCAGACCGCCAGCUAAGGUCCCAAAGUCAUGGUUAAGUGGGAAACGAUGUGGGAAGGCACAGACAGCCAGGAUGUUGGCUUAGAAGCAGCCAUCAUUUAAAGAAAGCGUAAUAGCUCACUGGUCGAGUCGGCCUGCGCGGAAGAUGUAACGGGGCUAAACCAUGCACCGAAGCUGCGGCAGCGACACUAUGUGUUGUUGGGUAGGGGAGCGUUCUGUAAGCCUGCGAAGGUGACCUGUGAGGGUUGCUGGAGGUAUCAGAAGUGCGAAUGCUGACAUAAGUAACGAUAAAGCGGGUGAAAAGCCCGCUCGCCGGAAGACCAAGGGUUCCUGUCCAACGUUAAUCGGGGCAGGGUGAGUCGACCCCUAAGGCGAGGCCGAAAGGCGUAGUCGAUGGGAAACAGGUUAAUAUUCCUGUACUUGGUGUUACUGCGAAGGGGGGACGGAGAAGGCUAUGUUAGCCGGGCGACGGUUGUCCCGGUUUAAGCAUGUAGGCUGGUUGUCCAGGCAAAUCCGGAUAAUCAAGGCUGAGGUGUGAUGACGAGGCACUACGGUGCUGAAGUAACAAAUGCCCUGCUUCCAGGAAAAGCCUCUAAGCAUCAGGUAACAUUAAAUCGUACCCCAAACCGACACAGGUGGUCAGGUAGAGAAUACCAAGGCGCUUGAGAGAACUCGGGUGAAGGAACUAGGCAAAAUGGUGCCGUAACUUCGGGAGAAGGCACGCUGGUGUGUAGGUGAAGUCCCUGCGGAUGGAGCUGAGACCAGUCGAAGAUACCAGCUGGCUGCAACUGUUUAUUAAAAACACAGCACUGUGCAAACACGAAAGUGGACGUAUACGGUGUGACGCCUGCCCGGUGCCGGAAGGUUAAUUGAUGGGGUUAUCCGUAAGGAGAAGCUCUUGAUCGAAGCCCCGGUAAACGGCGGCCGUAACUAUAACGGUCCUAAGGUAGCGAAAUUCCUUGUCGGGUAAGUUCCGACCUGCACGAAUGGCGUAAUGAUGGCCAGGCUGUCUCCACCCGAGACUCAGUGAAAUUGAACUCGCUGUGAAGAUGCAGUGUACCCGCGGCAAGACGGAAAGACCCCGUGAACCUUUACUAUAGCUUGACACUGAACAUUGAGCCUUGAUGUGUAGGAUAGGUGGGAGGCUUUGAAGCGUGGACGCCAGUCUGCGUGGAGCCAACCUUGAAAUACCACCCUUUAAUGUUUGAUGUUCUAACGUUGGCCCCUGACCGGGGUUGCGGACAGUGUCUGGUGGGUAGUUUGACUGGGGCGGUCUCCUCCCAAAGCGUAACGGAGGAGCACGAAGGUUAGCUAAUCCUGGUCGGACAUCAGGAGGUUAGUGCAAUGGCAUAAGCUAGCUUGACUGCGAGCGUGACGGCGCGAGCAGGUGCGAAAGCAGGUCAUAGUGAUCCGGUGGUUCUGAAUGGAAGGGCCAUCGCUCAACGGAUAAAAGGUACUCCGGGGAUAACAGGCUGAUACCGCCCAAGAGUUCAUAUCGACGGCGGUGUUUGGCACCUCGAUGUCGGCUCAUCACAUCCUGGGGCUGAAGUAGGUCCCAAGGGUAUGGCUGUUCGCCAUUUAAAGUGGUACGCGAGCUGGGUUUAGAACGUCGUGAGACAGUUCGGUCCCUAUCUGCCGUGGGCGCUGGAGAAUUGAGGGGGGCUGCUCCUAGUACGAGAGGACCGGAGUGGACGCAUCACUGGUGUUCGGGUUGUCAUGCCAAUGGCACUGCCCGGUAGCUAAAUGCGGAAGAGAUAAGUGCUGAAAGCAUCUAAGCACGAAACUUGCCCCGAGAUGAGUUCUCCCUGAGACUUUAAGUCUCCUGAAGGAACGUUGAAGACGACGACGUUGAUAGGCCGGGUGUGUAAGCGCAGCGAUGCGUUGAGCUAACCGGUACUAAUGAACCGUGAGGCUUAACCUU
Molecule: ribosomal RNA, 2901 nt
Filed under: Klebsiella pneumoniae
Lineage: Bacteria; Pseudomonadati; Pseudomonadota; Gammaproteobacteria; Enterobacterales; Enterobacteriaceae
Description: 23S ribosomal RNA
Rfam family: Bacterial large subunit ribosomal RNA
Source: RNAcentral